UACGAGCGGCCCAAACGUUAUUCGGAAUUACUGGGCUUAAAGAGUUCGUAGGCGGCGCGGAAAGUGGGGUGUGAAAGCCCUCGGCUCAACCGAGGAAUUGCGCUCCAAACUACCGUGCUUGAGGAAGCUAGAGGUGAGCAGAACUGAUGGUGGAGCGGUGAAAUGCGUUGAUAUCAUCAGGAAUACCGGAGGCGAAGGCGGCUCACUGGGGCUUUUCUGACGCUGAGGAACGAAAGCCAGGGUAGCGAACGGG
Molecule: ribosomal RNA, 253 nt
Filed under: uncultured bacterium
Lineage: Bacteria
Description: partial 16S ribosomal RNA
Rfam family: Bacterial small subunit ribosomal RNA
Source: RNAcentral